AACGAACGCUGGCGGCAUGCCUAACACAUGCAAGUCGAACGAGACCUUCGGGUCUAGUGGCGCACGGGUGCGUAACGCGUGGGAACCUGCCCUUAGGUUCGGAAUAACUCCCCGAAAGGGGUGCUAAUACCGGAUAAUGUCUUCGGACCAAAGAUUUAUCGCCUUUGGAUGGGCCCGCGUUGGAUUAGCUGGUUGGUAGGGUAAAAGCCUACCAAGGCGACGAUCCAUAGCUGGUCUGAGAGGAUGAUCAGCCACACUGGGACUGAGACACGGCCCAGACUCCUACGGGAGGCAGCAGUGGGGAAUAUUGGACAAUGGGCGAAAGCCUGAUCCAGCAAUGCCGCGUGAGUGAUGAAGGCCUUAGUGUUGUAAAGCUCUUUUACCCGGGAUGAUAAUGACAGUACCGGGAGAAUAAGCACCGGCUAACUCCGUG
This 433-nucleotide ribosomal RNA is filed under the name uncultured bacterium. Its description in RNAcentral is "partial 16S ribosomal RNA". It matches the Rfam family "Bacterial small subunit ribosomal RNA", at positions 29 to 507 of the family's 1533-position model. The record is from RNAcentral.